Molecule: ribosomal RNA, 324 nt
Filed under: uncultured eukaryote
Lineage: Eukaryota
Description: partial 18S ribosomal RNA
Rfam family: Eukaryotic small subunit ribosomal RNA
Source: RNAcentral
CCCUUAGAUGUUCUGGGCCGCACGCGCGCUACACUGAAUGGAUCAACGUGUUUUCCCUUCCCGAGAGGGACGGGUAACCCGCUGAACCCCAUUCGUGGUAGGGAUCGGAGCUUGCAAUUGUUCUCCGUGAACCAGGAAUUCCCAGUAAGCGCAAGUCAUAAGCUUGCGUUGAUUACGUCCCUGCCCUUUGUACACACCGCCCGUCGCUACUACCGAUUGAAUGGUCCGGUGAAAUUCUCGGACGCGGACUAGCGAUGUUAAUUCGGAGCUUGACUGUGAAAGUUAAUUAAACCUUACCAUUUAGAGGAAGGUGAAGUCGUANCA